Molecule: small RNA, 126 nt
Filed under: Marmota monax (woodchuck)
Lineage: Eukaryota; Metazoa; Chordata; Mammalia; Rodentia; Sciuridae
Source: RNAcentral
GCCAGGCAUGGCGGCACACGCCUGUAAUCCCAGCAACUCAGGAGGCUGAGGCAGGAGGAUCUUGUGUUCAAGGCCAGCCUCAGCAAUUUAGAGAGGCCCUCAGCAUUCAGCAAGACCCUAUCUCAA